GUGAGGUAAUGGCUCACCAAGGCUUCGACGGGUAGCUAGUCUGAGAGGACGAUUAGCCACACUGGGACUGAGACACGGCCCAGACUCCUACGGGAGGCAGCAGUAGGGAAUCUUGCGCAAUGGGCGAAAGCCUGACGCAGCAACGCCGCGUGGGGGAUGAAGGCUUUCGGGUUGUAAACCCCUUUCAGCAGGGACGAUUAUGACGGUACCUGCAGAAGAAGGACCGGCCAACUACGUGCCAGCAGCCGCGGUAAUACGUAGGGUCCGAGCGUUGUCCGGAUUUAUUGGGCGUAAAGAGCUCGUAGGUGGCUUCGUAAGUCGGGUGUGAAAACCCCAGGCUCAACCUGGGGACGCCACUCGAUACUGCGGUGGCUUGAGUCUGGUAGGGGAUCACGGAAUUCCUGGUGUAGCGGUGAAAUGCGCAGAUAUCAGGAGGAACACCAGUGGCGAAGGCGGUGAUCUGGGCCAGUACUGACACUGAGGAGCGAAAGCGUGGGGAGCGAACAGGAUUAGAUACCCUGGUAGUCCACGCCGUAAACGUUGGGCACUAGGUGUGGGGACCUAUCGACGGUUUCCGUGCCGCAGCUAACGCAUUAAGUG
Molecule: ribosomal RNA, 600 nt
Filed under: uncultured Actinomycetes bacterium
Lineage: Bacteria; Bacillati; Actinomycetota; Actinomycetes
Description: bacterial SSU rRNA
Rfam family: Bacterial small subunit ribosomal RNA
Source: RNAcentral